This 205-nucleotide small nucleolar RNA is filed under the name Carlito syrichta (Philippine tarsier). RNAcentral describes it as "Small nucleolar RNA U3 (ENSTSYG00000026056.1)". It matches the Rfam family "Small nucleolar RNA U3". From Rfam's summary of the family: Small nucleolar RNAs (snoRNAs) are involved in the processing and modification of rRNA in the nucleolus. There are two main classes of snoRNAs: the box C/D class, and the box H/ACA class. Lineage: Eukaryota; Metazoa; Chordata; Mammalia; Primates; Tarsiidae. The record is from Rfam by way of RNAcentral.
AAGACUAUACUUUCAGGGAUCAGUUCUGUAAUUCACUGCUACAGAAGUUUCUCUGAUCGUGUGGAGCACCAGAACCAUGAGGAGGCACAGCGUUCUCUCCUGAGCAUGAAGCUUGGUGUUGCUUCCCUGCAGUGGCCAUUUGCCAUGAAUGAUCAUUCUUGCUUUCCCUCAGGGGAACAAGAGGGAGAGACACAGUCUGAAUGGG